UGACCAAAAUAUUAAAUAGCAUCAUUGUUAUAAGGUGUUGGUGACACUAAAUUCACUGCAGCCACCAGGGGUCUCCUACUUGUUGUUGAAUAUUUUAA
Long non-coding RNA from Thalassophryne amazonica, 98 nucleotides. RefSeq lists it as uncharacterized. The transcript is spliced from 3 exons. Lineage: Eukaryota; Metazoa; Chordata; Actinopteri; Batrachoidiformes; Batrachoididae. The record is from RefSeq and is a predicted model, not a curated record.